AGUCGAGCGAGGAAGCUUGUAGCAAUACGAGUCAUUCGAGCGGCGUAAGGGGCAGUAAUACCUGGGAACGUACCCUGAGGUCGGGGAUAGCUGCUGGAAACGGCGAGUAAUACCCGAUGAUCUCGGAAGAGCAAAGGCUUGCCGCCUUCGGAGCGGCCCAGGCGAUAUUAGCUAGUUGGUGGGGUGAUGGCCUACCAAGGCAUAGAUGUCUAGCGGGUGUGAGAGCACGACCCGCGCCACUGGCACUGAGACACUGGCCAGACACCUACGGGUGGCUGCAGUCGAGAAUCUUCGGCAAUGAGCGCAAGCUUGACCGAGCGACGCCGCGUGCGGGAUGAAGGCCUUCGGGUUGUAAACCGCUUUGGUCCGAAAGAAAGGGCAACUUGAUCGAUCGGAGAAACAAGGACGGGCUAAGUUCGUGCCAGCAGCCGCGGUAAGACGAACCGUCCAAACGUUAUUCGGAAUCACUGGGCUUAAAGGGCGCGUAGGCGGCCGAGCGGGUCGUUAGUGAAAUCCCCCAGCUUAACUGGGGAACUGCUGACGAUACCACUGUGGCUCGAGGAAGGAAGGGGCAAUCGGAACUGUCGGUGGAGCGGUGAAAUGCGUUGAUAUCGACAGGAACGCCGGUGGCGAAAGCGGAUUGCUGGUCCUUUUCUGACGCUGAGGCGCGAAAGCCAGGGGAGCAAACGGGAUUAGAUAC
This 700-nucleotide ribosomal RNA is filed under the name uncultured bacterium. RNAcentral describes it as "bacterial SSU rRNA". It matches the Rfam family "Bacterial small subunit ribosomal RNA", at positions 60 to 785 of the family's 1533-position model. The record is from RNAcentral.